AAUGGAGGAAACUCUGAUGCAGCGAUGCCGCGUGAGUGAAGAAGGCCUUUGGGUUGUAAAGCUCUUUCGUCGGGGAAGAAAAUGACUGUACCCGAAUAAGAAGGUCCGGCUAACUUCGUGCCAGCAGCCGCGGUAAUACGAAGGGACCUAGCGUAGUUCGGAAUUACUGGGCUUAAAGAGUUCGUAGGUGGUUGAAAAAGUUGGUGGUGAAAUCCCAGAGCUUAACUCUGGAACUGCCAUCAAAACUUUUCAGCUAGAGUUUGAUAGAGGAAAGCAGAAUUUCUAGUGUAGAGGUGAAGUUCGUAGAUAUUAGAAAGAAUACCAAUUGCGAAGGCAGCUUUCUGGAUCAUUACUGACACUGAGGAACGAAAGCAUGGGUAGCGAAGAGGAUU
Molecule: ribosomal RNA, 392 nt
Filed under: uncultured Gammaproteobacteria bacterium
Lineage: Bacteria; Pseudomonadati; Pseudomonadota; Gammaproteobacteria
Description: bacterial SSU rRNA
Rfam family: Bacterial small subunit ribosomal RNA
Source: RNAcentral